Long non-coding RNA from Boleophthalmus pectinirostris (great blue-spotted mudskipper), 11292 nucleotides. RefSeq lists it as uncharacterized. NCBI's taxonomy places the organism in Eukaryota, Metazoa, Chordata, Actinopteri, Gobiiformes, Gobiidae. The record is from RefSeq and is a predicted model, not a curated record. The transcript has 2 exons.
CGCUGCUCUAGUCUGUUUUGUUGCAUUUUUAUUAGUUAAUAAUAAAAAAUAUAAAAUUAUAAAAUUAAAAUAUAUUUACAGAUCUUUUCUUUUCCCUCACGCACUGUCACUUUAUUUACGUCGGCAGCGGAGGACGGUGCGCGUGUUGUAGUCCUUUCUCUGGGAGUUGUAGUUUUUACUGAACAGUUGUAGUUUCCUCCGCAGAGAAAACAGCUCCUUCUCCUCACUGCUCCUCGGUCCUAAACCAGGACUAAACCAAGUCUAAAACAGGACUAAACCAGGACUAAACCAGGACUAAACUAGGACUAAACCAGGUCUAAACCAGGUCCAAACCAGGUAUUUGUGAGUCCAGUUUGUUGGUGUUAAAGUGUGGUCAGUGUCGCCCUCUAGUGGACAGUUGGAGUCUGGUUUCGUUUUCCUGGUUCUGAGUUGGGUUUCGUUUCUGUCAGGUUUGUGUGAGUCUUGGGCGCAGUUGAAAAGGGCUCAGGUCACUCGGGUCUCCUCACACCGGGUCAGCUUUGCUCUUGCAGUGUUCCAGACUCGAAGGUUCUGCUCGAGGAAGUGAAGGAACCCAAAAAAGCCCGUCUCACUGAAGCCGGUGCCACCGUCGAAGUCACAAGAUCCACAAACACCUCAGAUUUCAAUGGAGAAACGCCGUACAGAUCCAGAGGAAGAACCAGGUCGCUUGGGCAGAGCAGCGGCUGUGAGAUCUUCUCUGAGGAACCCGGAACCUGAACCUGAAGCCACCGGAGCCAGGCCUAAGACCGGGCAGCCCUCCAGAAAAUCCAGCUCCAAGUGUGAGGAGGUUACAGAAAAAAGUGAAAAGGAGAAAACCAAAUUGCUCCUUUCUUGUUUUUACUGUAAGGGAGAUCACGCCUUUCAAGAGUGUCUCCAGUUUGCACAAAAUCCACAAGAACAAAAGCUGGAGUUCUUGAGAAAGGCCGGCCUCUGUUUCGGGUGUUUGGGUGAAGGUCAUCGUUCACGAAACUGUCGCUCGAGAAUCGUCUGCUCCAUUUGCUCCAAGGACCAUCCGAGAAUUCUGCACAAAAAGACAAUACACGAAACGAUGAAGGAACUUUUGGAAAGUAAUUUGGUAUAUAUAGGGGGUAAAAAGUGAACACGAAAAUGAAAACUCAACUUCUUUUGGCGCCCAAACCAAACAAACAAACAAAUCAUGACCAUGAUUAUGAAAAGCAAAUCAGAAAUUACAUAAAAUGUUACAGGUAUAAUCUAGGACUAAACCAGAUCUAUAACAGGACUAUCCUAGGUCUAAAGCAGGUCUAAUCUAGGACUAAACCAGGUCUGUAACAGGACUUUCCUAGGUCUAAAGCAGGUCUAAUCUAGAACUAAACCAGGCCUAUAACAGGACUAUUCUUGGUUUAAUGUAAAUCUAAACCAGGUCUAUAACAGGACUAGUCCUGGUCUAAUUUUGGUCUAAAAAUGGUCUGUAACAGGACUAUUUCAGGUCUAAUCUAGGACUAAACCAGGCCUAUUCCAGGUCUAAAGCAGGUCUAAAUUAAGUCUAUAACAAGACUAAUGUCUAAGUCUAAACCAGGUCUGUAACAGGAUUAUUCCAGGUCUAAUUUUGGUCUAAACUAGACUAAUCUAGGACUAUACCACGUCUAUAACAGGACUAUCCUAGGUCUAAACCAGGUCUAGAAUAGGACUGUUCCAGGUCUAAUUUUGGUCUAAAACAGGUCUAUAAAAGAACAAUUUCAGGUCUAAUCUAGGACUAAACCAGGUCUAUUGUAGGUCUAAAUCAGGUCUAUAACAAGACUAAUCUUGGACUAAACCAGGUUUAGAACAGGACUGUUCCAGAUCUAAUUAAGGUCUAAACCAGGUCUAUUCCAAACAUCAUCGUUAUGAAUGACCAAUGCGAGCAGAAUUUUCAGACUUUUUUAGUCUCUCUGGAGCAUUCUAGCACCAAAUCUUCACUGAACUUUCUUGGGGAUCAAUAAAGUAAAUCUAUCGAUCUAUUUAUCUAUCUGUCUAUCUUCUGUAUCUGCUUCAUCUCUCCCUCCUCUGCGUGAGGGCGGAGUCUUGAUGGAAUCACCGCCUUUAAGGCAAAUGAAGCCUCAGUUCUGAAGCCGGACUUUGCCAGAGUUUUCCGUCCUCUUCCGUGAUGAUCUUUAAAACAUCAGAACUUUGAGCUCUCGAAAUCUAUUUCCUUGUUUUCUGCUGUCGGUCUCCUGCGUCUUUGAGGUUGGGGCACGGUUUAAACUUUUGAAACUGCAAACCCAAGAACCACAACCCUUUGGAUUUGGAUUGUGGACUGUUUAUUGGGACCACUGACCUUCCAUGAACGUCUAAUAUCUGCAUGUGUAAGUCUUGCCAUUUUUUUUUGUUAUUUGCCAUCUCAAGUCAAGUGAAGAAUUAUAGAUCGUAGCUCCAAGUGCCUGGCUUUACCGCAGUAAACAAAGAGCCUCUAUACUGAAUCCUCCGUGGCGCCAUUUUGUUUUGCAUAUCAUUUGCUUUGUUGGGUGAACUGAAAAAACCCGAUGAGUUUUUGGAAUAUAGACCAAGGUUUAUUCUUGUUACAGCAGAUAUGGACAGGGUCUAGGCCUGUUUCGGCCAAAGCCCAACAGCCUCUCACCCCUGUCUCCUCCCGUCUCUUCCCAUCUCCCUCCCCAGAGCCUUUGAGCUCUGAGUAUUUAUACAGAAAUACAAGUCACAUACAUACAUAUCAAUGCAGAGUGACUUGUUUGAGAGGCGGGUGCUUAAUUAACAUACAGUUGUUGAUAACAAAAGGCUUCCUGAAGGCGGAGACAGUUGUGCCUGAUGAACCUUUACACAUGUUCAUGACUGGUCUGGGUUUCAGGUAGAAAUCACAUUAAUUUACACAAGACAGAUUGAGAGAAAUCUUUCCACAAUCUAAAUUUCUAUCACACAUUCUCCCUUUUGAUUAUUCAUUAAUCAUACUUUAUAAACAGUCAUUGUCACACACAUAAUAUGUGGAAAAUUUAAAACAGUCCAUGGAGUUAAAGUGAGUUCCAUUAGUUGGAGGCAAAUUCAACAGUUCACUUUUAAGGAGGAUUGUUUUUGUUCAGUUUGUUCAUUUCCAGUAUGAUUUGUAGUCACAAGUAGAAUAUCGCUUGUCCUCUGUCCCUUUGUCCUCCCUUUGACCACACAUGGCUUUAGUCUCCCCACGCAGCUUGGCCUCUCUCUGAGCCACAGCUCGUCUCUUUGGUCCAUGUGUCCAUCUUCAGGGCUGUGGUUGAGCACGAGAGGAACAAGUCGAGUUUUGAAAAGUUGUGGAUGGCUGAACUUUUGUGAAGUUUUUCUCCAGUGACAGUUGUAAAGCAGAAGGAUGGUUAAAUGAUGCAGGUCUGAUUCUGCGCAGGACAAGAUACUUUUGUUUGGACCAGGUGGAACGUUAUUUCCUGGCUUCAGACCAUUCACUGUGGUGGUCUCUGUCUUGAAGGGUGUUGUCAGGUUACAGGUCUUGUAGUUGAAAAAUGGAAAACAGUCUCUAAGUGAUCUAAAACAAAUUUUCUUAUAUUCCCCCCUUUGACACAUUUAUGUGUCAAUUUUGUUCUACAGGCUUAGUUGACUUAGUUGUCUUCUACUGUAAGAAAUUAUGUUGGUUAAAUUCCACUUCUGAAAGAAACAUUUUGUUAAAACUUUUAGUGGUUAGUUGUUAAUGUUGUUAGUCAUAAGAUGUUUGAAGAAAGGAAGAGAAAAUUAUGCAGCAUCCAUAUUCCCUGUAACAAAAACUAUAAAAAAUUUAAAUUAUUAAAGAAAUUCGCAGGUGCAUAGUGGUCAAGGAUGGUCAAGUCAGUCAAGUCAAGUUUGUUGUGAUCACAAGUGGCUUUGAUACGGCCUUCAUUUUGUUUUUAAGAGAGCUCACCAAAAUAUACUGAAUUUCUGGAGGAACCAAUUACAACUACGGAGUUUUCUGGUACCAGCUGGACUUUUUUAGGACAUCAUUAAAAAUCAAUAAGCAAAACAAAACAAAUAUCAUUAAAAAAGAAAAUAUAAAAAAAAAGUAACUCUAAAAUGAGCAACCCAGUUAACUUGAUCCUUGAUCCUAUCAUUUUUCUUGCUGACACUGUUGACAACAGGCUCAAAUGUUAAACACAGAUUUUCUGACAAUGCACAAUUUACAAUCAUACAUUUUGACUGUUCAGGUCCCAAGGACACUGAAACAUAUAGUCACACUCUGUAUUUUAGCACAAUUUUCUGUAUGUAAAUCUUUUUUUUUUUUUUUUCUUUUUUUUUUUUUUUUUUUUCAAUUCUUUUUCUUUCUUUUUUUUUCAAAUUUUUUUUCAAUCUUUUCUUUUUCAAUUUUUUUUUUUUUUUUUUAACAUGUUGCAACAGUUCAACACAUAUGUAAGUUUACAUUUGUCUUCAAACAUUUUCCAUUUACAAUACAUAAUAUCUCCAUUCUUAACUGCUCCCUUGAAUCUACUCUCCCUCAUGAGAAAGUCUCAGCCCGUCUUUACACUCAACUACACAGGGAAUUGCACCCUUUUGCCUUUUUCUAGUCAGUAACCCUAGAUAGGAGUUUCACCUAGUGACUGUUCGGUAAAGAGCAGGGACUUUCACCCAUUUGACUGUUCACUAGCUAGUUACUACUAGAGGGGAAUUUCACCCAGUGACUGUUUGGUAGUUCGCUGUAGUGACUGUGCUUAGUUCUACUCUGGAGAAUACAUUCAAGUAGUCCAAAUUCUAGAUACUAUGUAAAGCAAAAUGUAACAAAACUAAACCCAUGUUCAUUAAAAUACGAGGGCAAGUAAAUCAGAAAGGGAAAAAAAAAAAAAAAAAAAAACAUCAGUAGCCUUUAGAUUACUUCCAAAUGAAAAUCAUUAAUGUCCCAGGAAGUUGGAGAUGGAUCAUGUGCGGGGGUUGUGACUGGGUCACAGUCAGCACAGCAGGCGGUAGCGUCAUCACAGGUUAGGGAAGAGGGUGGUGGCGUACUAUAGUUCCAUAUUGGCUUUUGGGUCACAAGCUGACUUGGAGAAGAUGGUGUAAAUGCAGAGGGCUCAUGGCGUAAAGAGCACUCUCGUCUCCAAUGUCCAAGUUGACAACAGAUAAAGCAUGGUUCUUUGGAAAAUCUUCUCUUGUUCUUUCGAUUGGCUUUUCUCCUCUCUUUGUUCUGCUUACAUGUUGGCUGAAGAGUCUUUAGUUGUUUCUGAAAUCUUAAAUCUAGUUGGUGAUUUUCACUUUCAUGUGUCUUAUUGUACAUAGUCACAGCUGCCAUAUGCAGUUCUUUCUGCAUUCUCUCUUGCUUCAUUACUUUCUUUCUCAGUAGCUGUUCAUAUGCAUGUGUGGCAUGUCUUUUCAGUUCAGUUAGGCGAGCAGCAUUCCAGCCAAUGCAAGUUUUCUUCACAGCUGAAGAAAUGUCUGUUUUUAGUCCACUGAUGAAGUAGUUACACAGGUAUGUUUCCCAAACAUCACGAGUCACACCUAAGUGAUCAGGUCUUGUAAAUCCACUGUGGGUGUUAUACACUUCUGUUAAACGUGUGAGAAACGCUUCAGGGUCCUCAGCCUCUCUUUGUUUGCAGGAUUGGAUUUUGUCAGUAUCGAUGGAGGCAGGAAAGGCUUUGGUGAUAGCUAUGCAGAUGUUGUUCACAGCUUCCCUAUACAAAGCAUUAGAGUCAUGUUUCCAAUCCACGUGAUUGCAUCGCAGUUCAAUGUUCUGCAGUUGAUCAGCUAUUUUAUGCCAUUCUGUAGGUUUCAUUUUCAUGAUCAACACUCUCCUCAGUUCACUCAUAGUGGGCUUGAAGUCUUGACAAAACGUGUUUAGUUCUUUAGCAAAAGUCUGACCUGAUGUUGUGGGAUUGGGCAGAUGUUGAGAUGCUGCAGAUAUUUCAGAAGAAGUCCAUGGACGGAAAACUAAUGUUGGAUUUUGUUGACCAGAGACUUCAACCAUUGGCAUAGUGAGCGUUGCUUGUUCAACAUGGCGGUGUAGUCUCUGAGCAGUGGAUGAAAAGUCCUGUUGUGAUGGGGGUGGUGGAGCUUUGAGUUGUGAGAAGUUAUUUGGUGAAGGAUCAGACAGCAACUGUUGAGACAAAGAGUUCUGCGAGUGGGGCUGUUUCAAUUCACACAUUUCAGUUGCAUCUUUAAAGAGAAGAGGUUGUUUGUACAUAGAUUUUCUUAUUUUGCUCUCAGCUUCAUCUUUCCACAUUUUGACACAGUCCUUGUAAUUUUCAAUGUUGUCUAAUUUUUUUAUUAGAAAUUUUACUUUUUCUUUCACUUCGACUUCAAUCUCACAUAACUUGUUUUCCAAUGCCAGAACAUUCUUUAAAGUGAAUGCACCAAAUUCUGAAGAAUUCUUAUCUCCAUGUUUUCUUCUCAAAAAAUCAACAAUGGAACCUUCUGGUGGUGUAUACUCCCUUGAAGUUUUGCUCCCCAUUUUGUUUUUGCACUUGUAACUUCCAAUAGCUUAGUUUCCGUGGCUUAAAAAAGAGCGGUCUAGAAUGUCCCAAAGGUGAGGAAAUUAAAAGCGGGGAUGGUCUUUGUUGUUGACACUGUAGUUGCAGCAUGAUAUUUUUGAGCCAAAAUAUUGAAAAAGGUCAAUCAAGUAAUUGAAAUAUGAGAAUUUUGCUUUUGUGAGAUUAAUUUAAAAAUCUAUAGGAAUAGGGUUAGAGUUUGGCAUGUUUCAAAAAGUCCAUUUAACUCCAAUAGGAGGCAUACUGUCCUUUGAACAUUUCCAAGUGUUUGUAGAUGAAGGUUUCCAUUAAAUUAUCUUAAAUGAAAUAAAGUCUAUUUUGCAAAAGCUCACCAAGCAAAUCUUGUUCGAAUCCAGCGGUGAUGAUCCAGGAGAGAAGCCAAUGUCCAUCCAUGUCUUUCAUUGCUCCAUGCAUCCGAGAAAAAACAAAAGCUGACAAAAUUCCAUUUGCGCUGUGUUCUGGACGGUCACUCGUGGAUCCCGCUUCUUGACACCAAAUUGUUGUGGCAAAAAUUAUAUAUCUCUUGAAGAUAAAUAAUGAAUCCAUUUGCGAAGCCCGAUGAGUUUUUGGAAUAUAGACCAAGGUUUAUUCUUGUUACAGCAGAUAUGGACAGGGUCUAGGCCUGUUUCGGCCAAAGCCCAACAGCCUCUCACCCCUGUCUCCUCCCGUCUCUUCCCAUCUCCCUCCCCAGAGCAUUUGAGCUCUGAGUAUUUAUACAGAAAUACAAGUCACAUACAUAUCAAAGCAGAGUGACUUUGGUUUCAGAGGGUGGUACUAAAUUAACAUACAGUUGAGGACAACAAAAGGCUUCCUGAAGGCGGAGACAGUUGUGCCUGAUGAACCUUUACACAUGUUAAUGACUGGUCUGGGUUUCAGGUAGAAAUCACAUUAAUUUACACAAGACAGAUUGAGAGAAAUCUUUCCACAAUCUAAAUUUCUAUCACAGGUGAUUUGCAUUUCGCCGGGGGGUAGCCUCUUAGAAGAUGGCAUUACGUGGAGGUUCACUUCGUGCUACAUCGUCUUCAGUCCGCCUUAAAGACUUGGUCAGGAGAGACACCUUAAGGGAAAAGACGCUCACCGCGGAACACGAAAAGGCUCAGGUGGAACACAAACCCCUAGACCCACACCAAGCUGCCGGAGCCAGGCCCAAGUCCGGCAGACCCUUGAGACGAUCCAGCUCCGUGACUUCGGACGAAUGGAGGCGAGCGGAGGUCACAGAAAGCCAAACGGAGAAAACCAGAGACCAGAGGGCCGAUUCAAAACAGACAAGAGCAGCGGCUGGGAGGUCUUCUGUGAGGAACCCUCCGCCUGAACCUGAACCAAAGCCCCCGCACCCACACCAAGCCGCCGGAGCCAGGCCUAAGACCGGCAGACCCUUAAGAAAAUCCAGCUCCGUGACUUCAGAAGAACGGAAGUGUGAGGAGGUUACAGAGAGUCAAAAAGAGAAAACCAAAAGGCUCCAGAGAGAACAGAGAGCCGAUUCCAAACAGACAAGAGAAGUGAACAGAGCUCUGAGCCCUCCGUGUUUGUACUGUAAGGGAGAUCACGCCUUUCCAGAGUGUCUCCAGUUUGCAAAAUAUCCAGAAAGGCUAAGGUUGGAGGUCGUAAGAAAUUCAGGCCUCUGUUUCGGGUGUUUGGGUCAAGGACAUUUUUCAAGAGACUGUCCAGCAAGAAUCGUCUGCUCCAUUUGCUCCAAGGACCAUCCUAGAAUUCUGCACAUAAAGACAAGAGACGAGAUGUUUGAGGAGAUGAAGGAAGGUUUGAAGUUUUUUGUCCUCUCUCGUCAACCAAACAAACCACGACCAUGAUUAUUAAAUGACAGUCAAAAAUAUAUAUAAAAAACCUUUCCUAACCUUAAAGGUGCGUAACUCUUCUGGAGAGGGUCCUCAACCUGUUUGUCUCCGUGAAGAUGUCAACGGUUUAGUUUAAAUUGUCCACAGUUUGGUUUUAAACUUUUCUGUCUUGUAUUUAUCCAACUACGGUGUUGUUUAUAUCCAAAAAUAUAAACGCCUCUCCACAAAUCGAACCUGUGAUUUGGAUCGCAAGUCUUCGUGAAGGUUCAUAGGUUUGUGUCCAUUCUGUGGAACGUUCCAGACGCAUCUUCAUGGAGACCAGCAGGUGACGAACCCUCCACCACAAAAGAUCCAAACUGCAGCUUUAACUACAGCCCUGGUCCUGAAAAGCAGGUCUAAUCUAGGUCUAAACCAGGUCUGUAACAGAAAUAUUCCAGGUCUAAUUUUGGUCUAAAAAAAAAAAAAAGGUCUAUAACAGGACUAUUUCAGGUCUAAUCUAGGACUAAACCAGGCCUAUUCCAGGUCUAAAGCAGAUCUAAAUCAGGUCUAUAACCAGACAAAUCUAGGACUAAACCAGGUCUAUAACAGGACUAUUCCAGGUCUAACCUAGGUCUAAACCAGGUCGAUAACAGGACUAUCCUAGGUCUAAAGAAAGUCUAUAAUCUAGGACUAAACCAGGUCUAGAACAGGACUAUUCCAGGUCUAAUCUAGGUCUAAACCAGGUCUAAUCUUGGACUAAACCAGGACCUAUUCCAGGUCUAAAUCCUGUCUACAUCAGGUCUAUAACAAGAUUAAUCUAGGACUAAACCAGGUCUAUAACAGGACUAUUCCUGGUCUAAUCUAGGACUAAACCAGGUCUAUUCCAAACGUCAUCACCAGGAAUGACUAAUCCUAGCAGACUUUUCAGAUUUUUUUAGCACUAAGUCUAACUUUAACUCUAGAUCUAUUUAUCUUUCUGUCUAUCUUCUGUAUCUGCUCCGUCUCUCCCUCCUCUGCAUGAGGGCGGAGUCUUCCUGGAAUCACCUCCUUUAAGGCAAAUAAAGCCUCAGCUCCGAAGCCGGACUUUGCCAGAGUUUUCCGUCCUCUUCUUGAUCUUCAAAACAUCAGACAAACUUUGAGCUCUCGAAAUCUAUUUCUUUGUUUUCUGCUGUCGGUCUGCUGCGUCUUUGAGGUUGGGGCACGGUUUAAACUUUUCAAACUGCAAACCAAGAACCUCACAAUGAAUUUUAAACACGGAACUGUACUCUUUUCUUUGGAUUGUGGACUGUUUUUUGGGGAAAACUAACCUUCCAUGAACUUCUAAUAUCUGCAUGUGUAAGUCUGGCCAUUUUUUCAUUAUCCACCAUCUCAAUUCAAGCGAAGAAUUAUAAAUCGUAGCUCCAAGUACAAACGUAGAGCCAACUGUACUGAAUCCUCUGUGGCUCCUUUUCGUUUUGCAUAGCAUUUGCUUUGUUGGAUCAUUUGCAUCAGCCGACGUCUUUAAAAUGACAUUGCGUGGAGGUUCACUUCGUGCCACGGCCUCUUCAGUCCGCUUCAAAGACGUGAUCAGGAGAACCGCCUUCACAGAAAAGAUGCUCACUGCAGAAAAGGCGCCGCAAUCCUCGAUCGACAAAGCAGAAGUUCCAAAAACCCUUCAGACGUCAAUCGCGAAACUGCAAGUGUGUGAAGGUUCUGCCAAGGAUGGAAAAGAAGAUAAGCAAAUAAACAAACCUGUGAGAUCUUCUUUGAGGAACCCUCCGCCUGAACUUGAACCUGAACCUGAACCUGAACCUGAACACAAACCCCCAAACCCACACCAAGCCGCCGGAGCCAGGCCAAAGUCCGGCAAGACCCUUAAGACGAUCCAGCUCCGUGACUUCAGAGGAAUGGAGGCGAGCGGAGGUCACGGAAAGCCAAACGGAGAAAACCAAAACGCUCCCGAGAGAACAGAGAGCCGAUUCUAAACAGACAAGAGCAGUGAACCGAGCCCUCAGCCCUCCGUGUUUGUACUGUAAGGGAAGUCACCCGUUUAAAGAGUGUGUGCAGUUCGCGAAACAUCCUCACGACCUGAAGCUGGAAGUCUUAAAAAAGGCGGGCCUCUGUUUUGCGUGUUUGGGUGAAGCUCAUUUUCCAAAAAGCUGUCACUCUAGACUUCGCUGCCCCUUCUGCUUCAGGGAUCACCCUAAAAUCCUUCACAUACAGUCGCUGGACGAGUGGAUCAAGGAGCUGUUCAAAGAAAACAAAGAGCUCACAGUGGGUAAACUGUUUAACAUGAGACGGAGCUGCGACUUGGUGUGAGCUCCAGAAAGAAAACUGAACUGGACUACAUUUUGGACAGUUUCAUAUAAUAUUACUACAUCCCAGAGCAAGAUGCAUUCUUACAAGGGAUGUGACAAUAUCCAACUCUCCUGUUACGAUAUUAUCACAGUUAUUGUAUUGUAUUAUUGUGUUGUGUCAGUCAUGUGAUUUAAUGUUUUGGUGGCCGUACUAGAGGUCAAGACUGGGAUUAUUCAGUUUAUUACAAUAUAAUCAUGGUGACUUUAAACAGCGCAAACGACAUAAAACUGUCUGAAAUCACCGUCAUUAGAAAAAAUAUAAAUCUAAAGUCGUCCUCCUGGGUUGUGGAAUAGAUCUAAUUCCGAUGAAGCUUUGUCAGUCUAAUCAACGCUCGCUCUGUGCCCGACCUUUAGUCUCCAGAUAUUUACAACGACUUCAUUCAUUCGACAUCGUCCUGCACCAACUGAAAAUCUACACAGAGUUAGAGGAUUAUAAAUAUUUUGUAGUGGGACGCGUGAGAUCUUUGUUGAUCACCAAACGUCACAUCUGUUCCUGAAAACAGUCAGGGGAAGUAGAAUGGGGGUCAAAAUCAGAGCCGGAGCGACCGUUUAUUUUGUUUUGAACAGUUAAUUUUUAUGGAAACUGCUGUAACUUUUCAUCAUUCUAAAACGAUGUGAAUAUAAGAAAAAUAACCAAUCAUCUGUGUCUCUGAUAGGUAACCUGCUGAUCCUUGUAUAGUGUAAACAAAUAAAACUUUUUGUGCUCUGUAUUGUACAAAACUCGUCUGUGUAGCAGCUGCUUUGUAAAUUGUCUCUAAGCAUCAACUUAUUAAAGGCCUCAGUGUGACUCUG